AGAGUUUGAUCCUGGCUCAGAUUGACGCUGGCGGCAGGCCUAACACAUGCAAGUCGAGCGGUAACAGAGAUAGCUUGCUAUCUGCUGACGAGCGGCGGACGGGUGAGUAAUGCAUAGGAAGUUGCCCAGACGAGGGGGAUAACCACUGGAAACGAUGGCUAAUACCGCAUACUCUCUUAGGAGCAAAGCAGGGGAUCUUCGGACCUUGUGCGUUUGGAUACGCCUAUGUGGGAUUAGCUAGUUGGUGAGGUAAUGGCUCACCAAGGCGACGAUCCCUAGCUGGUCUGAGAGGAUGAUCAGCCACACUGGGACUGAGACACGGCCCAGACUCCUACGGGAGGCAGCAGUGGGGAAUAUUGCACAAUGGGCGCAAGCCUGAUGCAGCCAUGCCGCGUGUAUGAAGAAGGCCUUCGGGUUGUAAAGUACUUUCAGUCGGGAG
Molecule: ribosomal RNA, 439 nt
Filed under: uncultured bacterium
Lineage: Bacteria
Description: bacterial SSU rRNA
Rfam family: Bacterial small subunit ribosomal RNA
Source: RNAcentral